AUGGGCGGCGACGGAGCUGCAGCUUCUGGUUCUGGUUCGCUCGCGAAGAAAGAAGUAGAAGAAGAAGCUGGUUCUGUCGUGUGCGGGAAGGAAGAAGAGAGAGGAGAGAGAAGAGAGAGAUAAACAUUGACUGGUCAAAGAGGAAAAGAGAGAGAGAAUAGGCGGUGGGGAAGGGUUUCGCACGAGGGGGAGGGAAAGAAGAGAGAGAAAAAGGGAG
Molecule: long non-coding RNA, 217 nt
Filed under: Eucalyptus grandis
Lineage: Eukaryota; Viridiplantae; Streptophyta; Magnoliopsida; Myrtales; Myrtaceae
Description: long non-coding RNA (EGRA_LNC007134)
Source: RNAcentral